Molecule: long non-coding RNA, 283 nt
Organism: Malania oleifera
Lineage: Eukaryota; Viridiplantae; Streptophyta; Magnoliopsida; Santalales; Ximeniaceae
Exons: 2
Source: RefSeq, a predicted model, not a curated record
UGGAAUUCUUGAGUGAGUUGUUCAAGGCGAGGACGUAGCCGGGUUGGCUGAACCUCAUAAAAUCGUGGUCCUUUGGGUAGCUGAAACUAGCAUCCUAGCGUUCGGGAGCGUGGGUGUCGAUUAGCUACGUAGAGUGCUUGAGUAAGUACUGAUUUUUGUAACCGGGUUGUCAUUGUUGGGUUUUGUAGACACCUGGGGUAUGUACUGUAUUUUGGAGCAUAGACUCUAGUCAUGUAUAGACUCUGAUAUGGUUCGAUGUAUGGAUUAGAAAGAAUAUUUUCGC